Molecule: unclassified non-coding RNA, 218 nt
Filed under: Hevea brasiliensis (rubber tree)
Lineage: Eukaryota; Viridiplantae; Streptophyta; Magnoliopsida; Malpighiales; Euphorbiaceae
Source: RNAcentral
GCCAAGAGAUAGGAUUUAGAAUCUAACCAUUGGAAUGAUUUGAUUCGUAAUAUAUUUGAAACAGAAUUGUCUUAUAAAGUCAAUAACAAUAAAUUUUAAGUAGAAAUAUUGGAGUUUAGAGAAGUCAAAUUUUGAUUAAUAUACAAUAAAAUUAACAUGGAAUAUGAAAAUUAGCAACUGAAAAUUUUGUUUACCUUUGUUAAUAAGUUUGCAAUUUC